RNAcentral lists this ribosomal RNA (253 nucleotides) under uncultured bacterium. RNAcentral's name for it is "partial 16S ribosomal RNA". It matches the Rfam family "Bacterial small subunit ribosomal RNA", at positions 524 to 776 of the family's 1533-position model. The record is from RNAcentral.
UACGUAGGGUGCGAGCGUUGCUCGGAAUCACUGGGCGUAAAGGGUGCGUAGGCGGGUCUUUAAGUCAGGGGUGAAAUCCUGGAGCUCAACUCCAGAACUGCCUUUGAUACUGAGGAGCUUGAGUCCGGGAGAGGUGAGUGGAACUGCGAGUGUAGAGGUGAAAUUCGUAGAUAUUCGCAAGAACACCAGUGGCGAAGGCGGCUCACUGGCCCGGUACUGACGCUGAGGUGCGAAAGCGUGGGGAGCAAACAGG